AGAGUUUGAUCCUGGCUCAGAGCGAACGCUGGCGGCAGGCCUAACACAUGCAAGCUCGAACGGGCGUAGCAAUACGCUAGUGGCAGACGGGUGAGUAACACGUGGGAACAUGCCCUUCGGUUCGGAAUAACUCAGGGAAACUUGAGCUAAUACCGGAUAAGUCCGAGAGGAGAAAGAUUUAUCGCCGAAGGAUUGGCCCGCGUCUGAUUAGCUUGUUGGUGAGGUAAUGGCUCACCAAGGCGACGAUCAGUAGCUGGUCUGAGAGGAUGAUCAGCCACACUGGGACUGAUACACGGCCCAGACUCCUACGGGAGGCAGCAGUGGGGAAUAUUGGACAAUGGGCGCAAGCCUGAUCCAGCCAUGCCGCGUGAGUGAUGAAGGCCCUAGGGUUGUAAAGCUCUUUUAUCCGGGAAGAUAAUGACUGUUACCGGAAGAAUAAGCCCCGGCUAACUUCGUGCCAUCUAGCCGCGGUAAUACGAAG
RNAcentral lists this ribosomal RNA (481 nucleotides) under uncultured bacterium. RNAcentral's name for it is "bacterial SSU rRNA". It matches the Rfam family "Bacterial small subunit ribosomal RNA", at positions 8 to 530 of the family's 1533-position model. The record is from RNAcentral.